Molecule: transfer RNA, 48 nt
Filed under: Aspidoscelis inornatus (Little striped whiptail)
Lineage: Eukaryota; Metazoa; Chordata; Lepidosauria; Squamata; Teiidae
Description: partial tRNA-Leu
Source: RNAcentral
ACUUUUAAAGGAAAAAAGCUAUCCAUUGUCCUUGGGAGCCACCAUACU